This 465-nucleotide ribosomal RNA is filed under the name Vreelandella stevensii. RNAcentral's name for it is "partial 16S ribosomal RNA". It matches the Rfam family "Bacterial small subunit ribosomal RNA", at positions 338 to 795 of the family's 1533-position model. Lineage: Bacteria; Pseudomonadati; Pseudomonadota; Gammaproteobacteria; Oceanospirillales; Halomonadaceae. The record is from RNAcentral.
CCUACGGGGGGCAGCAGUGGGGAAUAUUGGACAAUGGGGGCAACCCUGAUCCAGCCAUGCCGCGUGUGUGAAGAAGGCCCUCGGGUUGUAAAGCACUUUCAGUGAGGAAGAACGCCUGGUGGUUAAUACCCAUCAGGAAAGACAUCACUCACAGAAGAAGCACCGGCUAACUCCGUGCCAGCAGCCGCGGUAAUACGGAGGGUGCGAGCGUUAAUCGGAAUUACUGGGCGUAAAGCGCGCGUAGGUGGCUUGAUAAGCCGGUUGUGAAAGCCCCGGGCUCAACCUGGGAACGGCAUCCGGAACUGUCAAGCUAGAGUGCAGGAGAGGAAGGUAGAAUUCCCGGGGUAGCGGUGAAAUGCGUAGAGAUCGGGAGGAAUACCAGUGGCGAAGGCGGCCUUCUGGACUGACACUGACACUGAGGUGCGAAAGCGUGGGUAGCAAACAGGAUUAGAUACCCCUGUAGUC